RNAcentral lists this ribosomal RNA (497 nucleotides) under uncultured bacterium. Its description in RNAcentral is "partial 16S ribosomal RNA". It matches the Rfam family "Bacterial small subunit ribosomal RNA", at positions 28 to 507 of the family's 1533-position model. The record is from RNAcentral.
GAUGAACGCUGGCGGCGUGCCUAAUACAUGCAAGUCGAGCGAACGGACGAGAAGCUUGCUUCUCUGAUGUUAGCGGCGGACGGGUGAGUAACACGUGGAUAACCUACCUAUAAGACUGGGAUAACUUCGGGAAACCGGAGCUAAUACCGGAUGAUAUUUUGAACCGCAUGGUUCAAAAGUGAAAGACGGUCUUGCUGUCACUUAUAGAUGGAUCCGCGCUGCAUUAGCUAGUUGGUAAGGUAACGGCUUACCAAGGCAACGAUGCAUAGCCGACCUGAGAGGGUGAUCGGCCACACUGGAACUGAGACACGGUCCAGACUCCUACGGGAGGCAGCAGUAGGGAAUCUUCCGCAAGGGGCGGAAGCCUGACGGAGCAGCGCCGCGUGAGUGAUGAAGGUCUUCGGAUCGUAAAACUCUGUUAUUAGGGAAGAACAUAUGUGUAAGUAACUGUGCACAUCUUGACGGUACCUAAUCAGAAAGCCACGGCUAACUACGUG